Long non-coding RNA from Perca flavescens (yellow perch), 645 nucleotides. RefSeq lists it as uncharacterized. NCBI's taxonomy places the organism in Eukaryota, Metazoa, Chordata, Actinopteri, Perciformes, Percidae. The record is from RefSeq and is a predicted model, not a curated record. The transcript has 3 exons.
UUGAUUUGCGAGCUGCAGUCAGGAGAAAGAUGCUUUUAUUGUUUUAAUUUGGAGAUUUUCUUCUCAGCCAAGAGUGAGGGAGCGCUACAUGUAAAGGUAAAUGUUGGACAAAAACAAGCAGUGUAAAUAAAGUAUUAAGGUAGUAAAUAUUAACAGGUAAAUGUACUUAAAGUAUCAAAGUAAUAUGUGACACGGAGGCCACUUGGAGAGAUAUCUGCUGCUGUACCAGUUGCUGAUCUUUAUCUCAUUAGAUGGUCAGUUAGCUCCAUCUAGUGGACAGAUAGUAGAACUCCAUCAUCUGAUGGGGGACUUCUCUCACACUGACUGGGUGUGUGGACAGGUUGGACUGGUUCUGACGUCUCUCUGACUCUGAAGUUAUGAACUGUGACGGCGUCUUCAGAUCAAAUGCACAUCGACACCAGGACUGACGAGGGCCAAUGAGCAGCUUCUUCUCUCCCAGAGUUUCCUCGACACAUGAAGGAGGAAAGUGUCUGGAAAGUGACCUGAAGAGACUUCAGCAGGUGAGGACUCUGCUAUGAGUCAGUGUGAGGACAGAGAGGAGGGAGCCCCUCCCUCUAAAACCACUCUGUGUGGGGACCAUGACAGCCAGACCAAAGCUCAGAGGAUGCAGCAACAGAAACCUGA